This 297-nucleotide unclassified non-coding RNA is filed under the name uncultured Sordariales. RNAcentral describes it as "partial contains 5.8S ribosomal RNA, internal transcribed spacer 2, and large subunit ribosomal RNA". The stretch from base 1 to 102 matches the Rfam family "5.8S ribosomal RNA", at positions 53 to 154 of the family's 154-position model. Lineage: Eukaryota; Fungi; Ascomycota; Sordariomycetes; Sordariales. The record is from RNAcentral.
AUGCGAUAAGUAAUGUGAAUUGCAGAAUUCAGUGAAUCAUCGAAUCUUUGAACGCACAUUGCGCCCGCCAGUAUUCUGGCGGGCAUGCCUGUUCGAGCGUCAUUUCAACCAUCAAGCCCCGGGCUUGUGUUGGGGACCUGCGGCUGCCGCAGGCCCUGAAAGACAGUGGCGGUCUCGCUGUAGCACCGAGCGUAGUAACUAAAACCUCGCUAAGGCUGCUCUGCGGGCUCCGGCCGUAAAACCCCCUUCUAACACAAGGUUGACCUCGGAUCAGGUAGGAAUACCCGCUGAACUUAA